Molecule: ribosomal RNA, 253 nt
Filed under: uncultured bacterium
Lineage: Bacteria
Description: partial 16S ribosomal RNA
Rfam family: Bacterial small subunit ribosomal RNA
Source: RNAcentral
UACGGAGGGUGCAAGCGUUAUCCGGAUUCACUGGGUUUAAAGGGUGCGUAGGCGGGCAGGUAAGUCAGUGGUGAAAUCCUUGAGCUUAACUCGAGAACUGCCAUUGAUACUGCAAGUCUUGAGUGCACUUGAGGUGGGCGGAAUACAUCAUGUAGUGGUGAAAUACUUAGAUAUGAUGUAGAACACCGAUUGCGAAGGCAGCUCACUAAAUUGCAACUGACGCUGAGGCACGAAAGCGUGGGGAUCAAACAGG